RNAcentral lists this ribosomal RNA (176 nucleotides) under Maledivibacter halophilus. RNAcentral's name for it is "16S rRNA. Bacterial SSU". It matches the Rfam family "Bacterial small subunit ribosomal RNA", at positions 19 to 177 of the family's 1533-position model. Lineage: Bacteria; Bacillati; Bacillota; Clostridia; Peptostreptococcales; Caminicellaceae. The record is from RNAcentral.
CUGGCUCAGGAUGAACGCUGGCGGCGUGCUUAACACAUGCAAGUCGAGCGAGAAGGCUUUAACUAAUCCUUCGGGAGAAGAUAGAGCUGGAAAGCGGCGGACGGGUGAGUAACGCGUGGGUAACCUGCCUUGUACAGAGGGAUAGCCGCCGGAAACGGUGAUUAAUACCUCAUAAG